RNAcentral lists this ribosomal RNA (473 nucleotides) under uncultured bacterium. Its description in RNAcentral is "bacterial SSU rRNA". It matches the Rfam family "Bacterial small subunit ribosomal RNA", at positions 28 to 507 of the family's 1533-position model. The record is from RNAcentral.
GAUGAACGCUGGCGGCGUGCCUAACACAUGCAAGUCGAACGGGGUUACACGAGUAGCAAUACUUGUGCAACCUAGUGGCGGACGGGUGAGUAACGCGUGAGCAACCUACCUUCCAGAGGGGGAUAACACAGGGAAACCUGUGCUAAUACCGCAUAAAGUACAGUGGGGGCAUCCCUGCAGUACCAAAGGAGCAAUCCGCUGGGAGAUGGGCUCGCGUCCGAUUAGGUAGUUGGUGGGGUAACGGCUCACCAAGCCGACGAUCGGUAGCCGGACUGAGAGGUUGGCCGGCCACAUUGGGACUGAGACACGGCCCAGACUCCUACGGGAGGCAGCAGUGGGGAAUAUUGGGCAAUGGGCGGAAGCCUGACCCAGCGACGCCGCGUGAGGGAAGACGGCCUUCGGGUUGUAAACCUCAGUUAUACGGGACGAAGGAAGUGACGGUACCGUAAGAGAAAGCCACGGCUAACUACGUG